AGUUACGCUGACAUCACCUGUCUAAAUCAAGUGGCUAGUCCAGCUAGUCUAACACGAUAAUUGGUGUCAUAAAAGUUAGUUAAAUCAUAUUGGAUGUCAGUCAAAUCGCUGGUGACAUUCCCAAAUUAGAAGAAGUCGGUGGGGCGGCAACUUUAUUGCGUGGUGAUUGCCACGGCCAUUGUUUCGAUGACACGCCAAAUGGUUUCUGUUUCGAAGACCAUUCCACCUGUCAGCCAAAUGGACAGCAAUCCGAACACACAAUUAUCUGCCAAAUGACGAGGGCGUGUCAGGUGGCGCUUACCAUUUUGGUUCGACUAUAUAUGUAUUUUCUCGUCGGUGGGGGACAGCGUUAUGCCAUUUGAUGUGGACUUCCGAUUGUAGCAAUUAUAUGUAAAUUAAUUAUAGGGUUCAGAUUGGUCCUAAUUGAGACUUGCCUUGCUUUCCAGCUCCAAACCCAACCCUAAACUGCAGCUCACUGCCAUUUGGCAGACUAGUUUUGGCAUGCAAAUUGACAAGUUGUCUACGACUUGGCCCAGACAACUCCAGAUACUCUGUGGCAAAGCCUUUUUCGUAAGUGGCGGAGACAACUCAAUGAGGUCUGCAAAUGUUAUGCUCGAUUGAGGAUCCCCAAACGGCAGACGUUGCAAGUGAGUUAACAUGAAAUGGCAGACUCAGAUACAGAUACAGAUGCAGCUUCGGUCUGAGAUCGAAUUGAAGAUGCAGAUGCAGAUUCAGUUGCAGAUACAGUUGCAAAUGUGCAGCUGCCAGCGAUCGAAGUGGCGCGAUCAUGUGCAAAAACUUUUUUUUUUGAAGGGGGGAGGGGGUAGGGGCACUCUUGGGCGCACUUGACACGAAGAAAUAAUUCCAUUGAGUUGGCAAGUAUGCCGGGAAUCUCGGGCGAGACAAAAUUAGACAAGAAGCGUGAUUUACGGAACCCUUAAAUCACAUGACAACUACACACAGAUCGGCACAGAUCGAGAAUCGAAGAGCAAAUGCGAUGACAAUGUCUGGGCAGCACAUGUGGAUGUGUGGAUUUGGAUGUGGAUGUGGCUGUAGAUGUGGGGAAUGGGAACCAGAAUCGAAAUCGAAAUCAGAAUGGGGCUGGAACUGGGAGGCGGACAAUGGGAAACGAUACUGAUACCGAGUCGAUCGAUCGACGCUUCCCCUUGGCAGACAAACUGAUUUAUGGCAAUGCAAACGGGGACACAUCAGACAUGAAGACAGACAGUUCCCGAGGAGUAAGAGAUCAAAGCAAAUCAGACUGUCUGGAAAGCUUUAUGCCCUGGUAAUUUUAUAUGCUUGUACUGAGAGCUGAUCAUCGAUCACUGAUCACUGAUCACCCAACACCGAUCGUGUGACCAAACUGGGGUAUUUCCAGUCAAU
Molecule: non-coding RNA, 1383 nt
Organism: Drosophila melanogaster (fruit fly)
Lineage: Eukaryota; Metazoa; Arthropoda; Insecta; Diptera; Drosophilidae
Source: Ensembl